GGAUGAACGCUGGCGGCGUGCCUAAUACAUGCAAGUCGAGCGAACAGACGAGGAGCUUGCUCCUCUGACGUUAGCGGCGGACGGGUGAGUAACACGUGGAUAACCUACCUAUAAGACUGGGAUAACUUCGGGAAACCGGAGCUAAUACCGGAUAAUAUAUUGAACCGCAUGGUUCAAUAGUGAAAGACGGUUUUGCUGUCACUUAUAGAUGGAUCCGCGCCGCAUUAGCUAGUUGAUAAGGUAACGGCUUACCAAGGCAACGAUGCGUAGCCGACCUGAGAGGGUGAUCGGCCACACUGGAACUGAGACACGGUCCAGACUCCUACGGGAGGCAGCAGUAGGGAAUCUUCCGCAAUGGGCGAAAGCCUGACGGAGCAACGCCGCGUGAGUGAUGAAGGUCUUCGGAUCGUAAAACUCUGUUAUUAGGGAAGAACAAAUGUGUAAGUAACUAUGCACGUCUUGACGGUACCUAAUCAGAAAGCCACGGCUAACUACGUG
This 498-nucleotide ribosomal RNA is filed under the name uncultured bacterium. RNAcentral describes it as "partial 16S ribosomal RNA". It matches the Rfam family "Bacterial small subunit ribosomal RNA", at positions 27 to 507 of the family's 1533-position model. The record is from RNAcentral.